This 474-nucleotide ribosomal RNA is filed under the name uncultured organism. Its description in RNAcentral is "partial 16S ribosomal RNA". It matches the Rfam family "Bacterial small subunit ribosomal RNA", at positions 332 to 797 of the family's 1533-position model. The record is from RNAcentral.
UACACUCCUACGGGAGGCAGCAGUGGGGAAUUUUGGACAAUGGGCGAAAGCCUGAUCCAGCAAUGCCGCGUGAGUGAAGAAGGCCUUCGGGUUGUAAAGCUCUUUUGUCAGGGAAGAAACGGUGAGAGCUAAUAUCUUUUGCUAAUGACGGUACCUGAAGAAUAAGCACCGGCUAACUACGUGCCAGCAGCCGCGGUAAUACGUAGGGUGCAAGCGUUAAUCGGAAUUACUGGGCGUAAAGCGUGCGCAGGCGGUUUUGUAAGUCUGAUGUGAAAUCCCCGGGCUCAACCUGGGAAUUGCAUUGGAGACUGCAAGGCUAGAAUCUGGCAGAGGGGGGUAGAAUUCCACGUGUAGCAGUGAAAUGCGUAGAUAUGUGGAGGAACACCGAUGGCGAAGGCAGCCCCCUGGGUCAAGAUUGACGCUCAUGCACGAAAGCGUGGGGAGCAAACAGGAUUAGAUACCCCGGUAGUCCCA